CGAGCAGGCCAGGCGGCCGCGGCGCCGCUUCGGCGGCGUCGAGGAACGUCCGGGCUCCACAGGGCAGGGUGGUUGUUAACGGCAACCCGGGGUGACCCGCGGGAAAGUGCCACAGAGAACAGACCGCCGCGGCUCGCGAGAGCGCGCGGUAAGGGUGAAACGGUGGUGUAAGAGACCACCAGCGUCCCGGGUGACCGGGACGGCUCGGUAAACCCCACCCGGAGCAAGGUCAAGAGGGACCUUCGGGUCCUGCGCGGAUGUUCGAGGGCGGCCCGCCCGAGUCCGCGGGUAGACCGCACGAGCCCAUCGGCGACGGUGGGCCCAGAUGGAUGGCCGUCACCCGGGGCAACGCGGUGACGCGCUCCGGGGACAGAACCCGGCGUAUCGGCCUGCUCGUCCA
RNAcentral lists this RNase P RNA (400 nucleotides) under Phytomonospora endophytica. RNAcentral describes it as "Micromonosporaceae bacterium YIM 65646 Bacterial RNase P class A". It matches the Rfam family "Bacterial RNase P class A". From Rfam's summary of the family: Ribonuclease P (RNase P) is a ubiquitous endoribonuclease, found in archaea, bacteria and eukarya as well as chloroplasts and mitochondria. Its best characterised activity is the generation of mature 5'-ends of tRNAs by cleaving the 5'-leader elements of precursor-tRNAs. Cellular RNase Ps are ribonucleoproteins. The record is from Rfam by way of RNAcentral. Lineage: Bacteria; Bacillati; Actinomycetota; Actinomycetes; Micromonosporales; Micromonosporaceae.